This 253-nucleotide ribosomal RNA is filed under the name uncultured bacterium. RNAcentral's name for it is "partial 16S ribosomal RNA". It matches the Rfam family "Bacterial small subunit ribosomal RNA", at positions 524 to 776 of the family's 1533-position model. The record is from RNAcentral.
UACGGAAGGGGCAAGCGUUGUUCGGAAUCAUUGGGCGUAAAGGGCGCGUAGGUGGUUCUGUAUGUCUACCGUGAAAGCAUACAGCUCAACUGUAUUUUGUCGGUAGAAACUGCAGGACUUGAGGCUGGGAGGGGCUGGUGGAAUUCCCUGUGUAGCGGUGAAAUGCGUAGAGAUGGGGGAGAACACUCGUGGCGAAGGCGGCCAGCUAGACCAGUUCUGACACUGAGGCGCGACAGCGUGGGGAUCAAACAGG